Molecule: ribosomal RNA, 928 nt
Filed under: Aglaiogyrodactylus forficulatus
Lineage: Eukaryota; Metazoa; Platyhelminthes; Monogenea; Gyrodactylidea; Oogyrodactylidae
Description: 16S ribosomal RNA
Rfam family: Bacterial large subunit ribosomal RNA (bases 578-928)
Source: RNAcentral
AUAGAUAUAAAAUUAAUAAUAAUUUUUACCUUUUGCAUCAUGAUUUAAUAAUUAAGUAUUGAUAUUCAAAUUACACGAAACUAAGGGAUAUAGAUUAUUUUAAGACAGUGUGUUACUGUUUAUAAAUUUAUUUAGAUUUGAUAAAUAAGACGUCCUUAGUUAUAACUUGUAUAAUAAUUGUUAAUUUUUAAAUACGACUUUGUAGAUAAAGUUGUAUAAUAUUUAAGAAAUAUUAUUUUUAAUAAUAAUUGGGUUGAAAAGUGACUUAUUUUGUGAAUUUGUUAUAAAACUUGUAUGUUGUGAAUUUUCUUAUUAUAUGUUAUUAUUUAAAACUAAUUAAUUAAAUGUUAAAAUAAGUAAUUAUAUAAUUUUUCUUUUUUUUCAAAUUAGGUUGAACUGUUUAUUAAAAACAUUUUUAUUACUAUAUUUUAAUGAUAUUCUCUGCCCUAUGUAAAUUAUAAAUGGCCGCAGUAUUUUGACUGUGCAAAGGUAGCAUAAUUAAUUGUCCUCUAAAUAAGGAAUUGUCUGAAAGAGAGUUUUAAUCUAAAAUAAAAAGAAAAUAAUAUGAAAUUAGUUAAUAGGUGCAGAACCCUAUGUAAUUAAAUAAGACGGAAAGACCCUAAAAGCUUAAUUUUACUUUAUUUGGGGUAAAGAAUUAUUAUGUAUAAUUUUUAAGAACUUAUUAUAGAAUUAUAGGUAUAAGUUACUUUAGGGAUAACUGGGUUAGAAGCUAGGAGAGUUCUUAUCAAUUAGCUUGAAUGCCACCUCGAUGUUGACUUGGGAACACUAUUUUGUUGUAGAAGCUUUAAAAGUUAGCCUGUUCGGCUAUUAAAUCCCAUGAGUUGAGUUUAAACCGGUGUAAGCCAGGUUGGUUCUUAUCUAUUAAUUUUACUUAUAGUACGAAAGGAUUUAAGUAAGCUAAUUUUUA